RNAcentral lists this ribosomal RNA (575 nucleotides) under Halosphaeriopsis mediosetigera. RNAcentral's name for it is "LSU rRNA". It matches the Rfam family "Eukaryotic large subunit ribosomal RNA", at positions 42 to 645 of the family's 3401-position model. The record is from RNAcentral. Lineage: Eukaryota; Fungi; Ascomycota; Sordariomycetes; Microascales; Halosphaeriaceae.
AUCAAUAAGCGGAGGAAAAGAAACCAACAGGGAUUGCCUCAGUAACGGCGAGUGAAGCGCAACAGCUCAAAUUUGNAAUCUGGUCCCAGCGGCCCGAGUUGUAAUUUGCAGAGGAAGCUUUGGGCGAGGCGCCUUCCGAGUUCCCUGGAACGGGACGCCGUAGAGGGUGAGAGCCCCGUACGGUCGGUCGCCGAGCCUCUGUAAAGCUCCUUCGACGAGUCGAGUAGUUUGGGAAUGCUGCUCUAAAUGGGAGGUAAACCCCUUCUAAAGCUAAAUACCGGCCAGAGACCGAUAGCGCACAAGUAGAGUGAUCGAAAGAUGAAAAGCACUUUGAAAAGAGAGUUAAACAGCACGUGAAAUUGUUGAAAGGGAAGCGCUUGUGGCCAGACUUGCGCCUGGCAGCUCAGCCGUCCUUCCAGGGCGGUGCAUUCUGCCGGCUCAGGCCAGCAUCAGUUCGCAGCGGGGGAGAAAUACGGCGGGAACGUGGCUCCUCGGAGUGUUAUAGCCCGCCGUCAUGCCCUGCCGUGGACUGAGGUUCGCGCUUCCGCAAGGAUGCUGGCGUAAUGGCCACCAGC